CGAAGGGUGCGAGCGUUGUUCGGAAUUAUUGGGCGUAAAGCGCACGUAGGCGGUUGGAUAAGUCUGUCUGUGAAAGCCCGGGGCUCAACCCCGUGGAUGGCAGGGGAUACUGUCCGACUGGAGACAAGCAGAGGUUGGUAGAAUUCCGGGUGUAGCGGUGGAAUGCGUAGAGAUCCGGAGGAAUACCAGAGGCGAAGGCGGCCAACUGGGCUUGUUCUGACGCUGAGGUGCGAAAGCGUGGGGAGCGAACAGGAUUAGAUACCCUGGUAGUCCACGCUGUAAACGAUGGGCACUAGAUGCCGGUGGGAACGACCCCUUCGGUGUCGCAGCUAACGCACUAAGUGCCCCGCCUGGGGAGUACGGCCGCAAGGCUG
Molecule: ribosomal RNA, 374 nt
Filed under: uncultured organism
Description: bacterial SSU rRNA
Rfam family: Bacterial small subunit ribosomal RNA
Source: RNAcentral